This 467-nucleotide ribosomal RNA is filed under the name uncultured bacterium. RNAcentral describes it as "SSU rRNA". It matches the Rfam family "Bacterial small subunit ribosomal RNA", at positions 26 to 518 of the family's 1533-position model. The record is from RNAcentral.
AGGACUAACGCUGGCGGCGUGCCUAACACAUGCAAGUCGAACGAAGUAGCAAUACUUAGUGGCAGACGGGUGAGUAACACGUAGUCAACCUGCCCUUCAAUGGGGGAUAACUAGCCGAAAGGUUAGCUAAUACCGCAUACGAUCUCUGAGUGGCAUCACUCGGCGAUGAAAGGAGUAAUCCGUUGAAGGAGGGGACUGCGUCCCAUUAGUUAGUUGGUGGGGUAAUGGCCUACCAAGACUCCGAUGGGUAGCUGGCUUGAGAGAGCGACCAGCCACACUGGAACUGAGACACGGUCCAGACUCCUACGGGAGGCAGCAGUGAGGAAUUUUUCCGCAAUGGGGGAAACCCUGACGGAGCGACGCCGCGUGUGGGAAGAAGGCCUUCGGGUCGUAAACCGACUGUCGAGGGGGACGAUAUUGACGGUACCCCUGGAGGAAGCCCCGGCUAACUACGUGCCAGCAGCCGC